CUUUCGAAUGUGUUCUCUUCGUGAACGGA
This 29-nucleotide small RNA is filed under the name Bombyx mori (domestic silkworm). RNAcentral describes it as "ovarian small RNA-15012". The record is from RNAcentral. Lineage: Eukaryota; Metazoa; Arthropoda; Insecta; Lepidoptera; Bombycidae.